RNAcentral lists this ribosomal RNA (466 nucleotides) under uncultured bacterium. RNAcentral's name for it is "SSU rRNA". It matches the Rfam family "Bacterial small subunit ribosomal RNA", at positions 26 to 518 of the family's 1533-position model. The record is from RNAcentral.
AGCCUGAACGCUGGCGGCGUGGCUAAGACAUGCAAGUCGCACGGGCAUCCGCAAGGGUGUCAGUGGCGAACGGGUGAGUAAAGAAUCGCUAACGUACCCCGGACUCUAGGAUAGCUACCCGAAAAGGGUGGGUAAUACCAGAUGACAUAUUUCCCCUGCAUGGGGGAAAUCUCAAAGGUCCGCCGGUCUGGGAGCGGGCGAUUUCGUAUCAGCUAGUUGGUGAGGUAACGGCUCACCAAGGCGACGACGCGUAGCCGGACUGAGAGGUUGGCCGGCCACAUUGGGACUGAGACACUGCCCAGACUCCUACGGGGGCUGCAGUAACGAAUCUUCCGCAAUGCACGCAAGUGUGACGGAGCGACGCCGCGUGUGGGACGAAGCCCUUCGGGGUGUAAACCACUGUCAGGGGACAGAAAGUUCUGAUCGUCCCAGAGGAAGGCACGGCUAACUCUGUGCCAGCAGCCGC